UUUAUGGAGAGUUUGAUCCUGGCUCAGAGUGAACGCUGGCGGCGUGCCUAAUACAUGCAAGUCGAACGAUGAAGCUUCUAGCUUGCUAGAAGUGGAUUAGUGGCGCACGGGUGAGUAACGCAUAGGUCAUGUGCCUCUUAGUUUGGGAUAGCCAUUGGAAACGAUGAUUAAUACCAGAUACUCCCUACGGGGGAAAGAUUUAUCGCUAAGAGAUCAGCCUAUGUCCUAUCAGCUUGUUGGUAAGGUAAUGGCUUACCAAGGCUAUGACGGGUAUCCGGCCUGAGAGGGUGAACGGACACACUGGAACUGAGACACGGUCCAGACUCCUACGGGAGGCAGCAGUAGGGAAUAUUGCUCAAUGGGGGAAACCCUGAAGCAGCAACGCCGCGUGGAGGAUGAAGGUUUUAGGAUUGUAAACUCCUUUUGUUAGAGAAGAUAAUGACGGUAUCUAACGAAUAAGCACCGGCUAACUCCGUGCCAGCAGCCGCGGUAAUACGGAGGGUGCAAGCGUUACUCGGAAUCACUGGGCGUAAAGAGCGCGUAGGCGGGAUAGUCAGUCAGGUGUGAAAUCCUAUGGCUUAACCAUAGAACUGCAUUUGAAACUACUAUUCUAGAGUGUGGGAGAGGUAGGUGGAAUUCUUGGUGUAGGGGUAAAAUCCGUAGAGAUCAAGAGGAAUACUCAUUGCGAAGGCGACCUGCUGGAACAUUACUGACGCUGAUUGCGCGAAAGCGUGGGGAGCAAACAGGAUUAGAUACCCUGGUAGUCCACGCCCUAAACGAUGGAUGCUAGUUGUUGGAGGGCUUAGUCUCUCCAGUAAUGCAGCUAACGCAUUAAGCAUCCCGCCUGGGGAGUACGGUCGCAAGAUUAAAACUCAAAGGAAUAGACGGGGACCCGCACAAGCGGUGGAGCAUGUGGUUUAAUUCGAAGAUACACGAAGAACCUUACCUAGGCUUGACAUUGAGAGAAUCCGCUAGAAAUAGUGGAGUGUCUGGCUUGCCAGACCUUGAAAACAGGUGCUGCACGGCUGUCGUCAGCUCGUGUCGUGAGAUGUUGGGUUAAGUCCCGCAACGAGCGCAACCCCCUUUCUUAGUUGCUAACAGGUUAUGCUGAGAACUCUAAGGAUACUGCCUCCGUAAGGAGGAGGAAGGUGGGGACGACGUCAAGUCAUCAUGGCCCUUACGCCUAGGGCUACACACGUGCUACAAUGGGGUGCACAAAGAGAAGCAAUACUGCGAAGUGGAGCCAAUCUUCAAAACACCUCUCAGUUCGGAUUGUAGGCUGCAACUCGCCUGCAUGAAGCUGGAAUCGCUAGUAAUCGCAAAUCAGCCAUGUUGCGGUGAAUACGUUCCCGGGUCUUGUACUCACCGCCCGUCACACCAUGGGAGUUGUGUUUGCCUUAAGUCAGGAUGCUAAAUUGGCUACUGCCCACGGCACACACAGCGACUGGGGUGAAGUCGUAACAAGGUAACCGUAGGUGAACCUGCGGUUGGAUCACCUCCUUU
This 1503-nucleotide ribosomal RNA is filed under the name Helicobacter pylori. Its description in RNAcentral is "bacterial SSU rRNA". It matches the Rfam family "Bacterial small subunit ribosomal RNA". The record is from RNAcentral. Lineage: Bacteria; Pseudomonadati; Campylobacterota; Epsilonproteobacteria; Campylobacterales; Helicobacteraceae.